RNAcentral lists this long non-coding RNA (1361 nucleotides) under Mus caroli (Ryukyu mouse). RNAcentral describes it as "lncRNA (MGP_CAROLIEiJ_G0004219.1)". Lineage: Eukaryota; Metazoa; Chordata; Mammalia; Rodentia; Muridae. The record is from RNAcentral.
AGGCAUCACCAGGGAGAUGAUGAAGAAGGGCAGCCAACACACAAUGAAUGCUCCUAAAAUGAUCCCUAGGGUCUUGGUGGCUUUGCGCUCCCUAGCGGCCAUGAGUUUCUUCUUUUCCAGCAGGGCGUCUGAGACUCGCACUUUGACUUGGUUCACGUACACAGGAGACCCGGACUCACUGGGCACGUCCGGAGCCCGGGAGUUAAUGGAGGUGACCGAGGAUGUGGAUCCCGGGGAGUCUGUUAUCAACUGGGCUCGGGUCAAGCGCUUGCCGGUCUUGUUGGGUGUCUGUUUCAAAAUCCGAGAGCGGGCUUCCACAUAGAUGCGGCCAUAGAGGGCGAUGAGGAGCAGGGUGGGUAAAUAGAAAGCGCCCACCGUGGAGUAGACCGUGUAGAGGACGUGGUCGGUGUUCACAAAGCAGUCCAGCAUCUCCUCCUCCGCUUUGGCCUGACGCCAGAAGAAGGGUGGCAACGAAAUAGAGAUGGAGAAGACCCACACCAGCACGAUCAUGAUGGCCGCCCUUUUGGGAGUCCUUUUAGCAGAAUAUUCCACCGCAUCAGUGAUGGCCCAGUAGCGGUCCAGGGCGAUGACACAGAGAUGCAUGAUGGAAGCAGUGCAACAGGUGAUAUCCGACGACAGCCAGAAGUCGCAGACCACCUGGCCUAGUGUCCAGCGUCCAGUGACCGUGUACAUGGUGCUGAUGGGCAUCACCAGGAUGGACACGAGCAGAAUUUCAAAGCAAAACUCCUGCAAGUAUCAUUUACAAGAAGGAUCUAUGCAAGGUACAAAGCAAAUCUCAAGCAAACUGAAACUGACAGUUAAUCAAAAAAGAUGAUUAAGAAAAUAACUGUAAUCAAAGGAAAUAACUUCUCCAUCAACAAUCAGUGGCUUUCAUCAGAGUAUUAUGUCACAGCAACAGAAGAGAAACGAGGACAACAUCAAUAAAGUUGCAUUGCAUAAAUUUGCCAGCACCCAAAUCUAACUUGACCCUCCCAAGUAUACAGAGCCAUGUUCUAUCUUGUCCUUGUCAAAUACCCACAUCUUUCUCUCAGGUACUUCCAAAGGCUGAUGGCUGACACCUUGGCAACAAAAAUGUAUAAUUACAUUGUCUUGAUCCAUUCUUCACUCAGUAGAUUAUUGCUUUGGAUCCUAAGUGCCAAUAUUUUUUCUGUAUAUAUUAAAUGAAAAGGUCUAAGACAGUGGUGACUUCUCUUGUUAGAAAAGUUUACUUUUCUGACAAAUGUAUACUCUACUUUCAAUAUUAGAGUAUGCUUUUAUUAUGUCUAAUUUUUUCUCUACUACCGCUUGACUAUAACAGACUAGUUAUGAGAAUUUGUCCUAAGGUAGUAAAUUUUAAGGCU